GUGAACGAGCGACGCCGCGUGCGGGAUGAAGGGCUUCGGCUUGUAAACCGCUUUUCUUCGGGAAGAAGGUCCGCCUCGUGCAGGUGGGCUUGACGGUACCGGAGGAAUAAGCCCCGGCUAACUCCGUGCCAGCAGCCGCGGUAAGACGGAGGGGGCAAGCGUUGUUCGGAAUUAUUGGGCUUAAAGCGCGUGUAGGCGGGAUGAUAAGUACCUUGUGAAAUCCCAGGCUUCAACCCGGGAACUGCUCGGUAUACUAUCAUUCUUGAGGCAAGUAGGGGUUACUGGAACCUUAGGUGGAGCGGUGAAAUGCGUAGAUAUCAGGAGGAACGCCGGCGGCGAAAGCGACUCUCUGGCCUGUUACUGACGCUGAGGCGCGAAAGCUAGGGGAGCAAACGGGAUUAGAUACCCCGGUAGUCCUAGCCCUAAACGAU
Molecule: ribosomal RNA, 431 nt
Filed under: uncultured anaerobic ammonium-oxidizing bacterium
Lineage: Bacteria
Description: bacterial SSU rRNA
Rfam family: Bacterial small subunit ribosomal RNA
Source: RNAcentral